Molecule: ribosomal RNA, 794 nt
Filed under: uncultured bacterium
Lineage: Bacteria
Description: bacterial SSU rRNA
Rfam family: Bacterial small subunit ribosomal RNA
Source: RNAcentral
AGUGGCGUAAGGGUGAGUAAGGCGACGGCAACCAACCCCAUGGUUGGGCAUAGCCGCGGGAAACUGCGGGUAAUUCCCAGCGAUGUUCGUGUCGGGCAUCCGGUGCGAACCAAAGUUUCGGCGCCGUGGGACGGGCCGUCGUGGUAUUAGGUCGUUGGCGGGGUAAUGGCCCACCAAGCCUAUGAUGCCUACCGGGCGUGCGAGCGUGGCCCGGCACACUGGGACUGAGACACUGCCCAGACUCCUACGGGAGGCUGCAGUCGAGAAUCUUCGGCAAUGGGCGCAAGCCUGACCGAGCGACGCCGCGUGGAGGAUGAAGGCCUUCGGGUUGUAAACUCCUGUCGAGGGGGAGGAAGGCGCAAGCUUGACCUAUCCCUGGAGGAAGCACGGGCUAACUACGUGCCAGCAGCCGCGGUAAUACGUAGGGACCGAGCGUUGUCCGGAAUCAUUGGGCGUAAAGAGCGUGUAGGCGGCCAAUUAAGUCCUGCGUGAAAUCUCGGGGCUCAACCCCGAGCGGUCGUGGGAAACUGGUUGGCUAGAGUGCGGGAGAGGAGAGUGGAAUUCCUGGUGUAGCGGUGAAAUGCGCAGAUAUCAGGAGGAACACCGGUGGCGAAGGCGGGUCUCUGGGCCGAUACUGACGCUGAGGAGCGAAAGCGUGGGGAGCGAACAGGAUUAGAUACCCUGGUAGUCCACGCCGUAAACGGUGGGCGCUAGGUGUGGGGGCCAUUCCACGGUCUCUGUGCCGUAGCUAACGCAUUAAGCGCCCCGCCUGGGGAGUACGGCCGCAAGGCUAA